GGGGGUAUAGCUCAGUGGCAGAGCGUAUGCUUUAGCAUGCACGAGUCCUGGGUUCAAUUCCCAGUAUCUCCA
Molecule: transfer RNA, 72 nt
Filed under: Vicugna pacos (alpaca)
Lineage: Eukaryota; Metazoa; Chordata; Mammalia; Artiodactyla; Camelidae
Description: tRNA-Und (NNN) (tRNA-Und-NNN-37-1)
Rfam family: tRNA
About the family: Transfer RNA (tRNA) molecules are approximately 80 nucleotides in length. Their secondary structure includes four short double-helical elements and three loops (D, anti-codon, and T loops).
Source: Rfam by way of RNAcentral